GGACCCGCACAAGCAGCGGAGCGUGUGGUUUAAUUCGAGGCUACGCGAAGAACCUUACCAGGGUUUGACAUGUACGUAGUAGUGAAGCGAAAGCGGAACGACCCUUCGGGGAGCGUACACAGGUGAUGCAUGGCUGUCGUCAGCUCGUGCCGUGAGGUGUUUGGUUAAGUCCACUAACGAGCGCAACCCUUAUCGCCAGUUAUACGUGUCUGGCGAGACUGCCGGUCUUAAGCCGGAGGAAGGUGGGGAUGACGUCAAGUCAGCAUGUCCCUUAUAUCCUGGGCUACACACACGCUACAAUGGCCGGUACAGUAGGGUGCUAAGCCGCGAGGCGGAGCCAAUCCUCAAAAUCGGUCUCAGUUCGGAUCGUAGGCUGCAACCCGCCUACGUGAAGUCGGAGUUGCUAGUAACCGCAGGACAGCUAUACUGCGGUGAAUACGUUCCCGGGUCUU
Molecule: ribosomal RNA, 452 nt
Filed under: uncultured bacterium
Lineage: Bacteria
Description: bacterial SSU rRNA
Rfam family: Bacterial small subunit ribosomal RNA
Source: RNAcentral